Molecule: small RNA, 527 nt
Filed under: Drosophila mojavensis
Lineage: Eukaryota; Metazoa; Arthropoda; Insecta; Diptera; Drosophilidae
Description: GI25752
Source: RNAcentral
AGUAGAGUUACCGUAUGCCUGACAUGCGGGUGAUUGCUGUUGCCUCCCCUGCUACAUUAAAUAAUGCAUACAAACAAAUACAUACACACACACUGAGUACUCUGCAAACAUUGUUGCACAGCAACAGCAACGCCAACCGCAGAUAGCAGCAGAAAUUUCUGUAGUAAAACGGAAGUUGUUGUCGUAGUCAGCUUCGCGGAAGAAGCACGAAUAGAGGCUAGUGCUAACGUAAUUUUUCUCCAAAGCAACAAUUUGACGACAUUAAAAAAAGAAACGCACCUUUGCUACCUGAGCAAAGUUAACGCAAGCGAAAGAGCGCGAGAGGAAGAGAGAGAGAUAACUCUCAUACAGCUAGAGUUCUUCGAUGGCACAAAGGUUAUCAGCAAUAACAAAGAAUAGUAACAGUAGCAACAACAAUAAAAACAACUGCUUUCAGCAAUAACUGCACCUGCAACUCAAAAGCAAUCGCCGAACAACGCCUAAAAAACAAGUUAUAUAGAUAUAUAUGUUAUUCAGAGAGAGGGAGA